RNAcentral lists this long non-coding RNA (528 nucleotides) under Homo sapiens (human). RNAcentral describes it as "HSALNT0285956". The record is from RNAcentral. Lineage: Eukaryota; Metazoa; Chordata; Mammalia; Primates; Hominidae.
CCCGGGCCAGGCUGAGUCACGGGUUCGCCAAGACAGCCCACAGACUAAGCACAUUUCUUCUCUUUUCCGGUCCAUAAAAUCCCCAGAAUGGGCCCCACAAGAGCCCCACCUGGAAGACUCUAGGUUCUCAUCUUCAUGCCCCGAUGUAAGGAGAGUGGUCCAGCAUGUGAAGACUCCCAUUGCCUGCAUCAAGGAUGAAUUCCUUCAUCUGAUACCAAGACCUGCCAUGAUAUUGUGCCACCAUCUCUCCCCAACCUUAUUUCUCAUGACUCUCAAUACCUACUCAUUGUUCCAUUCAAGCUGACUUGAUCAUUGUUUCCCCCUCUAUUCCCAAUGUUUACUCCUGCUUAAUGAUUUUGUCUAAAUCUGAGAUACCUUUUCCUCACCUCUUCAAAUUCUGCGUAUACUUUAAGGUCCAGUUCAGAUCCCACUUCUCCAUGAAGUCUUCACAAAAUAGUCCAAAAUGCAAUGAGCUCUUGUUUAUUAUCUUAACUUCUCUGCCACAUUAGUUUGUGUACUAUACCACUU